GCUUCCCUCUUUCUUCGUGCCUAAUACAUGCAAGUCGAGCGAACAGACGAGGAGCUUGCUCCUCUGACGUUAGCGGCGGACGGGUGAGUAACACGUGGAUAACCUACCUAUAAGACUGGGAUAACUUCGGGAAACCGGAGCUAAUACCGGAUAAUAUAUUGAACCGCAUGGUUCAAUAGUGAAAGACGGUUUUGCUGUCACUUAUAGAUGGAUCCGCGCCGCAUUAGCUAGUUGGUAAGGUAACAGCUUACCAAGGCAACGAUGCGUAGCCGACCUGAGAGGGUGAUCGGCCACACUGGAACUGAGACACGGUCCAGACUCCUACGGGAGGCAGCAGUAGGGAAUCUUCCGCAAUGGGCGAAAGCCUGACGGAGCAACGCCGCGUGAGUGAUGAAGGUCUUCGGAUCGUAAAACUCUGUUAUUAGGGAAGAACAAAUGUGUAAGUAACUAUGCACGUCUUGACGGUACCUAAUCAGAAAGCCACGGCUAACUACGUG
RNAcentral lists this ribosomal RNA (497 nucleotides) under uncultured bacterium. Its description in RNAcentral is "partial 16S ribosomal RNA". It matches the Rfam family "Bacterial small subunit ribosomal RNA", at positions 36 to 507 of the family's 1533-position model. The record is from RNAcentral.